UUGACCUCGGAUCAGGUAGGAAUACCCGCUGAACUUAAGCAUAUCACUAAGCGGAGGACAAGACACCAACUGGCAUUGCAUUAGUAACGGCGAGUGAAGCAACUACAGCUCAUAUAUGAAAUCUGGCUUCGACCCGAGUUGUAAUUUGUAUAGGAUGCUUUUGGUGAGGUGCCUUCUGAGUUCUCUGAAACGGAACGCUAGAGAGGUUGAGAGUGCCGUAUAGUCAAGCACCGAUCGUAUGUAACGCUCCUUCGACGAGUCGAGUACUGUGGGAAUGCUGCUCUAAAAGUCACGUAUAUCGCUUCUACAGCUACAUAUUGACAUACGUCCGAUAGCGCACGUGUAUAGUGAUCGAACGAUGAAAAGCACUUUGAAAAGAGGGUUAAAUAGCACGUGAAAUUGUUGAAAGGGAAGCGCUUGUGACCAGACUUGUGCCGGGCUGAUCAUCCAGUGUUCUCACUGGUGCACUCGACCCGGCUCAGGCCAGCGUCGGUUCUCGUAGGGGGAUAAAAGCUUCGGGAACGUGGCACCUUCGGGUGUGUUAUAGCCCGUUGCUUAAUACCCUUGUGGGGACCGAGGUUCGCGCUCUGCAAGGACGCUGGCAUAAUGGUCAUCAGCGACCCGUCUUGAAACACGGACCACGG
This 644-nucleotide ribosomal RNA is filed under the name Coniochaeta sp. RNAcentral's name for it is "partial large subunit ribosomal RNA". It matches the Rfam family "Eukaryotic large subunit ribosomal RNA", at positions 1 to 671 of the family's 3401-position model. Lineage: Eukaryota; Fungi; Ascomycota; Sordariomycetes; Coniochaetales; Coniochaetaceae. The record is from RNAcentral.